Molecule: long non-coding RNA, 4702 nt
Organism: Takifugu rubripes (torafugu)
Lineage: Eukaryota; Metazoa; Chordata; Actinopteri; Tetraodontiformes; Tetraodontidae
Source: Ensembl
UCAUCUGUUUCCGCCCUUUGAUGUUCAUCCCGGAAGAAUCGAUUUGAUCUUGAUUCAUCUCAGAUUCAAACUCCGCGUCAAGUCCUCGCGGUGAAAGCGCGCGAGGGCGGGGGGGCAAUAAAUUAUGUUAAUGAGUGAGGACAGAUUGGACAGAGGGGGGCGUGUUCCUGGGGGGGGGGGGUGCCCGCGCCUCCAGCCAUCGUGCCCCUCAGCUGUGUACAUGCGCGCUGCCUCCUCGCGCAGAAUCACUCCGCAGAAUCUCACCCGCAACAAGUUUCCGCCGCGCGGCUCCGUCCGUCAACUCGCUCCGCUGUCCCGGUCACCGCCGAGGGCCGUGAACGCACCGCCGCACACACGCGCCGAGCCGCGCGCCACAGACUCGUGACUCCGCAGCGGCCGCAGCUCGCUCCGAAGCGGCGCGUGCAGCCUGUAGCGUGUCUCGUGAAGUGAACCUGAGCUCGCGGAGGAGCAGCACCUGAACAUGGAGAAAGACGCGGCGCGUCAGGAGCGGCGCCGCCGCCGCGCCGCGGCGCUCAGCGUCGCCGCGUGCGCGCUGUCGGUGGCGUCCGUCGCCUUCUGCGUCCUGCUCAGCAUCAACGCGGCGGAGCUCCGGAACCGGGUCCUGGACCUGGAGAAGCCGCAGUCGGCCCGCGAGGACGUGGAUUCUCUGGUGGAGCAGAAAGUGGAGGAGCUGCUGACACAGCGCGCGUUCGAGAAUUACGUCAAGAUCCGGACCGCGAGACAAACGUCACCUGAAUGCAACUGCCCCCCAGGUUCUGGUGCCGCCUGGGAGGGGGGAGGGGCCCUCAGAUGGCGUUCCGGCUGGCGUUGACACUCUGUUUGGGUUUCCACUUGGAACGUGCGACAUUCCCGCGCCGCUCGUCUCCUCGCUGGUUUGUGACGACAUGAUGAGUUUGAGACGUUCCUCAUCUGUUUUCCUGGUUCGGGUCCAGAUGUUCCCGUUCGGAUCAUGUUGAAACGUAACGCGGGACAUCAAUCCUGACCAGAGAGGAGCGACGUGUGUUACCAUGACAACGCCUGGUCAGGUUAGCAUCGGUGACCCUCGGCGGACCUCUGCGGUUCUGAUCCGAACAAGUCAAUAAUCCGUCAAUAAUCUCAUUAACUUCCUUCGGAGACAGUCGGACUCCUCGUUGAUCAGUUAGCACCGCGGCUAGUUACUCUCCGCUAGUCCCACCCCCAUCCUCCCUUCAUCGUCUCCAGACCUCCUGGAUUUGGGUCCAGAUCCGGACUCACACCUCCGGACUUUCAGCAAGUUUUCCUCCCAUUCCUGAGCAUGUUUUCUGGAACGCUGGCUGGAAUUCAAUAAGGCGAGUUGCCUCCACGGCGGGAUUGUGUUGGGAAUGAAAUCAGGUUUCAUUUAUCUGGUGGUUCUGCAGGCUGCAGGACCUGGACCAGGACCUGGACCAGGACCUGGACCAGGACCUGGACCGGACAGGAACCAUUCAUUCCCACUGUCACGAUUAAGGAUUCCGGGCGUAGAAGCCCCUCACAGGCUUCCGUAGGAGAGGUUUCUGACUGAGCCGAUCGAUUUCCGACCUCUGCCGGUCCGGGAGCGUGUGAGGCGUUCGUGUGUCUCUGCAGCCAGAGGAAAACACAUUGAUCUUUGGAAGUGAUGAAAAGACUCCCGGCGAGGCUCCGUUUGUCUCCCUGCAGCUCUGACGGAUCCGAUGAUCCCGUUUUUCUCUGUGAAAAACCUUUUUGUUGUCAAAUAUCUGUAAAAACGAUCUUUGUGCUGUUUUAUUUCCCGCGGAAUGCUGCGGUUUUCCCAGGCAGAUUCCUCCCAUAAUGAGGUGAUAAUCCAAAUUAAUUCCCAACUCCGGUGCCGGACUGAGAUGAUUGAAUGUAGAAACUCAACAAAAUUCCUCAUUUCUGAUAAAACAUAACUGGGAUCAUUUAGGACUACAAUGAGGAAGACGGAUUCUCCAGAAUCAGGAAUAACCUGAAACUGUGGCUCCGCCCCCUCCUCAGUAUUAGGAUCAAUAUUCCGGCAUAAAAACAGUUUUUAGCGGGAAUGAUUCCCGUAAUCGGGACUAACCUCUGAAAACGGACCUGAAACGGGAAAAUUCCAGGAAUAAAAACGGGAGAAUAUUUAGGGCCCGGGCUAGCAUAGCUAGCAUCUUAACGUUAGCUGGUUAGCAGUAGCUAACAAUUAAAAUCAGGAAACAAUUGAAAAGCUUUGAUUCCGCUUCAUGAAGCAGCAGCUGGAUCCGGAGCGUCCGGAGAACCGGCACGGGUCUGUUUGACGGCUUCUUCUGUCUUUAGUUCUGCCUGGAAAAGUUUGAGGAAGUUCAGGGAUUAGGAGGAGUUGAGCAGGUCAGACGUUACGACAAGGACUUCCUGUCCCGGAGACAGGCCGCCGGAUCAGCGGUUCAAGGGGACUCCGGGUUUUUGUCUCCACAAAAGCCGCUGAGCGACCUCGAGGGGCGGCCGAGACAAAGUCCAGGACUCUCUCGCUCUCAUCUGUUCCCGCUAUUCCCGACAUGAAUGGUUCUGUCCGGAAACACGGAAGCACAUUUUCAGUUGUUCUUACCCUGGCGGAGCUCUUGGAUCCCGGAGAAGCCGGUGGGAUAAAUCAGGAGCAGGCGGCGUAUUAGCGCGCGGGGACGCUAACUCACCUCUUCUUUGGGGGGGGGGCACAUGAUUUAAAGCCAGACGAAGAUCCCUGCAUGCUAACGUUGGCUAAUGCUUUAACUCUCCCUCCUGUUGCCGCGGCUUCCCACUAUAGACGACGAUGGGAUGUUGUGUCCCAGCAUUCCCUGUGAGAGCCGGCGGACCUUCGCAGGUGCUUCAUGUCGGAACAUUUAUCGUCCGUCAUCUCGAGUUUCUUGAGUCUCUAAUAAAACAACUUAGCGAAAGACUUCGUUCCUCCACAGGAGACCAAUUAAAGAGCUCUGGUUUUACUGGAACGUCGCGGUUCUGGAGGAAAGUGAAGUUCCAGACUCCGUAGCGGAGCGCGUCUGUGCUUCGUCAGGAGCUAGCGCCGGUUAGCGACAACAAGCGCGGUGACAUUUCCCCACGAGCCCGACUGUAAACUUGUGGUCCCAUUUACAUUUUUCCGCUGGACACUGGACCCAGUGUUCCACAAAUUAGCAUUUGUGCCGUGAUUUAUUCAUCUCCAUGCGUAGCAACGAGGCGCUGGGAUCGGGACCGUCCGUCUCUGCCAGAUGUCCCCACAAAAAUGUUCUCGUAAAGAAACAAACGCUCGCGGAGCAGAGAGUCGCCGACCUGCAUCGCGGUCGGUGUUGCCAGCUUUAAUAAACUCCAUGUUCCCUGUCGGGGAUCGAAUGAACCGUCUGAAACUCGUCUGGAGCUUCUGGAAUACCUGGAAUGUUUGAAUGCUACACAGAAAAUGCUAAUAGAUGCCUGAGAAGCCAUGAAGAGCCUGAGGUAGGCUAGGUUGCUAAGGCUACAUUGAGCACCGUAACAACAGAAGUAGAUAAACUUGUUUCCAUGCUUUUGUUUCGUUAGCUUGGCUGAUAGCUUUGAAGCUAAGGCUAGCUAAACUUCCGGACCUUUCCAGCAUGUUUGUGAACCAGAAACGUAACUCCAGGUUCACUUCAACUGGUUCCAUACAUCAAAGCUCCAGGACGAGAAGCUCGACAGGAGACGGCUCAGGUCACAUGGUCCAGGGUCACAUGACACCAGGACGGCCUUUUAGCUUAACGAGCAACGCUCGACGCUGCUGACGUCCCCGAUUUAAUGAGGUUAUGGUCUGAAUGUUGUUGAGCCAUUAAGUGGGUUUCUCUCCAUCUUUGGAGCAGCGGUUUGGGCAAGCUAGCAUGCUAACGAUGCCAGUGGCUACAUCCUGAUUUAGCCCACGUUAGCAUGAGAUGAGGCCGCGCCAGCAGCUCUCAACGAUUCCUUCUGGGCACCAACGUUUGGGAGCUUCCGUCCAGGCGUCCAAAUAUUUAAAACUUUAGAUCCAGAAACGAGUCAAACAGUCGUCGACGUUCCGGGUCUCCGGCGACGCCUCGCUUGAAGUGCUUCCAUCCCGGAACGCCGAGAAGCCACAGAAUCCCAGAACCUUCCCGCUAGCUCUCGGCCGGCCGCCCGGCGCCGCUGACCCUCGUCAUCAGACAGACCCGCCGGUCCUGCUGGCGUUGGGCUGAGAACGGUCCUGGGUCGCCACGUCGGGGGGGGCAGAGAACAUUCCGGAGUGAACGAGGAGGAAGAAAACCACUUCUGUUCCUCUCGGAUCCUCCAAAAACAAACGCAGGCAGGAAAAGUCCAGUCAGCUGCCGUGAAGCGAGAGUCCGACUCCACCUGUGGUCGCACCGUUCCCCGGUGCCGGACCUUCUCCUGGACCGGCCCCAAAGGGAACAGAGUCGCUUCCAGGACCGCUAGCAUAAAGCUCCUGUUUGUUGCCCGGCUAACACGAGGGGAGCCUCCGGCAGGAAGUUAGCAUAGCUGGAUUUAGCAAGACGCUAAUUUUAUCGCUAUUGUGAGAUGAUUGGGGUCAUUGUUCCGCCACGGUGCUGAUCCAGAUCUGGUUCCACGGUCCUGCUCCAGAUCUGGUCCCACGGUCCUGCUCCAGAUCUGGUUCCACGGUGCUGAUCCAGAUCUGGUUCCACGAUCCUGCUCCAGAUCUGGUUCCACGGUGCUGAUCCAGAUCUGGUUCCACGAUCCUGCUCCAGAUCUGGUUCCACGGUCCUGCUCCAGAUCUGGUUCCACGAUCCUGCUC